ACACUCUUAAGAACGCAGAGAAGUGUGUCACCGAAAGCUCUUUACUUGGAGUGUGGAGAGUAAAAUAAAACCGUUUGUUCUUUGAUAAAAAUCUUUAAAAUAGAAAAGUGAAAAGGAGGAAAGAAGAGAAACCUCAUAGCAGUUUCAAAACUAACAGACAUCCCCCUGGAGUAUUUACGGGUUUAAAGGCACAUGCGUGGGUGUUUUUAGAAGAGCAGGUGAUAUUCAACAAGACGAAGAACAUGGCUGCUUUUCUCUGUUCCCAGAGGACUGGCAGGGUUGUGGCAGCCUGAUGUAUGUGGGCACACAGGAGGAUGCCGUGCUAGGGUCAAUGUUAAGGGAGAUAUUCAUCACAGAGCCUACGCCAGGCAGACUCAGAGUUACCUGAUGUAUGGAGCAUGCUUCGCACCCGAUUUCCUAGAUGACAAAGCACAGAGGCACGGAUUAGGACAAUGUCACUGAUCAAGAUGUGAGCUCUCAGCUUUUCCAGCCACCAUGUCUUUGCUCUGCAAUCAUGAACUCUCUGGAACUGGAAACCCCAAACCACAUGCUUUCUUUUUUAUAAGUUGUCUCGGCCAUGGGGUUUUAUCACAGCAAUAGAACAGAAGCUAAGACAGAGCCCAUGGCCUUUUAUGUGCUAGGGAAGUGCUCUCCCAUUGGCCACACAGUCCCAGGCCAGUGACAUCAUUCUUCAUGAGUUUUCUUGAGACAAAUGUUGACUGAAUCAUCAACUAAGGGAGCUUUUUCUGUGGUAAAGCCAGGUCUUCUGGCACAGUGAUAACUAUUUUAUAAAUACAUCAUAUCUUGUCAUAACUAGAUUGCAGAUGGAGUCCACAGCACAUCGGUGUCAAAUGAGGAAAAUCUUGCAAAUAUUAACUCAUAUCAUCAGUUUUCAAGAUUCAUUAUAGUGGUAUAAGCCAAUCAUCCCAGGACAGGCUCCAUAACAGCCUUUAGAGUAAGACUCUGGGUAAACAAAAAGCUUCACAAGAAGUUCACAUGGCUGUGUGUGGUGGUACAUGCCUGUAAUCUCAGCACUCGGAAGACUGUUGCAAGUUCAAGGCCAGCCUAGUCUACACAGCAAGACCUGUCUUGAUGGGGGUUAGAGGUUAAGGGAAAGAGAGAUGGAACAGAAGACAAAAACCAGUCUUCUUCAUUACCUAUUUUUGCAUAAUUUAUUAUUAAAUAUUGUUAUUGUUAAUAAAGGAUGAUAAAAUGGAGACUUUAGUAAGGUUAAACUAGUAUGUAUGUGUAUAUGUAUAAAUAUAUAUUUACUUUUAAAAAACAUCAUUUGCUAUAUAUAAAGUUACUUAUAAGUACACUUCUAUAAAUAUGUCAUAAUA
This 1340-nucleotide long non-coding RNA is filed under the name Mus musculus (house mouse). RNAcentral describes it as "transmembrane protein 150C, opposite strand (Tmem150cos)". Lineage: Eukaryota; Metazoa; Chordata; Mammalia; Rodentia; Muridae. The record is from RNAcentral.